CAAGUCACGAUGGCGGCUGCCGUCGGUCAGGUGCGGCUCAUUGAGGCUGCCCGAUGUGUAAUAGCAGUAGAGCUUACUUAGGUAGUUGCUUACCAAGUUGCUACGCACAACACUGUGUGAUUUGAAUUAUACAUGAGUUGCCGCUACAAUGAGGAAUUGUGUGAUGGAAUGGAAUUGGUUGAUUUUAUUU
Molecule: non-coding RNA, 190 nt
Organism: Triticum urartu
Lineage: Eukaryota; Viridiplantae; Streptophyta; Magnoliopsida; Poales; Poaceae
Source: RefSeq, a predicted model, not a curated record